Prosopis cineraria is the source of this 107-nucleotide small nucleolar RNA. NCBI's taxonomy places the organism in Eukaryota, Viridiplantae, Streptophyta, Magnoliopsida, Fabales, Fabaceae. The record is from RefSeq and is a predicted model, not a curated record.
AUUUGAUGCUGAGGGCAACUUGCACAUAACUUCUUAAAUCUCUCCUAAUAUUCAUAAAAUGUUUCUCCAUUCAUUUUUAAGAACCCACAAAUAUCUCUUUUUAUUGC